AACUCUUAGUGGUGGAUCACAAGGCUUGUGCGUGAUGAAGAACGCAACUAGCUGCGAGAAUUAAUGUGAAUUGCAGGACACAUUGAUCAUCGACACUUCAAACACACUUGCGGCCCCGAGUUCCUUCCAGGGCUACGCUUGUCUGAGUGUCG
Pelodiscus sinensis (Chinese soft-shelled turtle) is the source of this 152-nucleotide ribosomal RNA. It matches the Rfam family "5.8S ribosomal RNA". Rfam says of the family: 5.8S ribosomal RNA (5.8S rRNA) is a component of the large subunit of the eukaryotic ribosome. It is transcribed by RNA polymerase I as part of the 45S precursor that also contains 18S and 28S rRNA. NCBI's taxonomy places the organism in Eukaryota, Metazoa, Chordata, Testudines, Trionychidae. The record is from Ensembl.